This 511-nucleotide ribosomal RNA is filed under the name uncultured Sphingobacteriales bacterium. Its description in RNAcentral is "bacterial SSU rRNA". It matches the Rfam family "Bacterial small subunit ribosomal RNA", at positions 903 to 1382 of the family's 1533-position model. The record is from RNAcentral. Lineage: Bacteria; Pseudomonadati; Bacteroidota; Sphingobacteriia; Sphingobacteriales.
CUAUGCGCCUUGCCAGCCCGCCUCAGAAACUUAAAGGAAGUUGACGGGGGCCCGGCACAAGCGGAGGAACAUGUGGUUUAAUUCGAUGAUACGCGAGGAACCUUACCUGGGCGUAAAUGGGGAGUGACAGCUGUCGAAAGAUGGUUUUCUUCGGACACUCUUCAAGGUGCUGCAUGGUUGUCGUCAGCUCGUGCCGUGAGGUGUCGGGUUAAGUCCCAUAACGAGCGCAACCCUUACCGUUAGUUACCAUCAGGUUAAGCUGGGGACUCUAGCGGGACUGCCACCGUAAGGUGAGAGGAAGGUGGGGAUGACGUCAAAUCAGCACGGCCCUUAUGUCCAGGGCUACACACGUGUUACAAUGGCCGGUACAAAGGGCAGCUACUUCGCGAGAAGAUGCUAAUCUCGAAAGCCGGUCUCAGUUCGGAUCGAAGUCUGCAACCCGACUUCGUGAAGCUGGAUUCGCUAGUAAUCGCGCAUCAGCCAUGGCGCGGUGAAUACGUUCCCGGGCCUU